AUCGCUUCUCGGCCUUUUGGCUAAGAUCAAGUGUAGUAUCAAGUACAGGUUUAACAUUUGUCAGUUUGUGAAUAAUGGAAUAAAAACAAAU
This 91-nucleotide small nuclear RNA is filed under the name Callithrix jacchus (white-tufted-ear marmoset). RNAcentral describes it as "U2 spliceosomal RNA". It matches the Rfam family "U2 spliceosomal RNA". Rfam says of the family: U2 is a small nuclear RNA (snRNA) component of the spliceosome (involved in pre-mRNA splicing). Complementary binding between U2 snRNA (in an area lying towards the 5' end but 3' to hairpin I) and the branchpoint sequence (BPS) of the intron results the bulging out of an unpaired adenosine, on the BPS, which initiates a nucleophilic attack at the intronic 5' splice site, thus starting the first of two transesterification reactions that mediate splicing. The record is from Rfam by way of RNAcentral. Lineage: Eukaryota; Metazoa; Chordata; Mammalia; Primates; Cebidae.